UACGGGGGGAGCAAGCGUUGUUCGGAUUUACUGGGCGUAAAGGGCGCGUAGGCGGUCGUGACAAGUCACUUGUGGAAUCUCCGGGCUUAACUCGGAACGGUCAAGUGAUACUGUCGGACUAGAGUACAGAAGGGGCAACUGGAAUUCUCGGUGUAGCGGUGAAAUGCGUAGAUAUCGAGAGGAACACCUGCGGCGAAGGCGGGUUGCUGGGCUGAUACUGACGCUGAGGCGCGAAAGCUAGGGGAGCGAACGGG
RNAcentral lists this ribosomal RNA (254 nucleotides) under uncultured bacterium. RNAcentral describes it as "partial 16S ribosomal RNA". It matches the Rfam family "Bacterial small subunit ribosomal RNA", at positions 524 to 776 of the family's 1533-position model. The record is from RNAcentral.